RNAcentral lists this ribosomal RNA (208 nucleotides) under Vibrio parahaemolyticus. Its description in RNAcentral is "partial 23S ribosomal RNA". It matches the Rfam family "Bacterial large subunit ribosomal RNA", at positions 2500 to 2707 of the family's 2925-position model. Lineage: Bacteria; Pseudomonadati; Pseudomonadota; Gammaproteobacteria; Vibrionales; Vibrionaceae. The record is from RNAcentral.
UCAUAUCGACGGCGGUGUUUGGCACCUCGAUGUCGGCUCAUCACAUCCUGGGGCUGAAGUCGGUCCCAAGGGUAUGGCUGUUCGCCAUUUAAAGUGGUACGCGAGCUGGGUUUAGAACGUCGUGAGACAGUUCGGUCCCUAUCUGCCGUGGGCGUUGGAAGAUUGAAGGGGGCUGCUCCUAGUACGAGAGGACCGGAGUGGACGAACC